GCAUGGUAACAUGUUCAGCUGACCAAUACUAAUAGAUCGAGGGCUUGACCAAA
RNAcentral lists this ribosomal RNA (53 nucleotides) under Firmicutes bacterium AF19-2LB. RNAcentral's name for it is "partial 23S ribosomal RNA". Lineage: Bacteria; Bacillati; Bacillota. The record is from RNAcentral.